RNAcentral lists this ribosomal RNA (494 nucleotides) under uncultured bacterium. Its description in RNAcentral is "partial 16S ribosomal RNA". It matches the Rfam family "Bacterial small subunit ribosomal RNA", at positions 28 to 507 of the family's 1533-position model. The record is from RNAcentral.
GACGAACGCUGGCGGCGUGCUUAACACAUGCAAGUCGAACGGUGAAGCGCCUUCCUUUUUGGUGGGUGUGGAUGAGUGGCGAACGGGUGAGUAACACGUGAGUAACCUGCCCCCUUCUUCUGGAUAACCGCAUGAAAGUGUGGCUAAUACGGGAUAUUCUGGGUCUGUCGCAUGAUGGGUCUGGGAAAGAUAUUGUUUCGGUGGGGGAUGGGCUCGCGGCCUAUCAGCUUGUUGGUGGGGUGAUGGCCUACCAAGGCGGUGACGGGUAGCCGGCCUGAGAGGGUGGACGGUCACACUGGGACUGAGACACGGCCCAGACUGCUACGGGAGGCAGCAGUGGGGAAUAGUGCACAAUGGGCGAAAGCCUGAUGCAGCGACGCCGCGGGAGGGAUGGAGGCCUUCGGGUUGUGAACCUCUUUCGCCAGUGAAGCAGGCCUGCCUCGUUUGUGGGUGGGUUGACGGUAGCUGGAUAAGAAGCGCCGGCUAACUACGUG